RNAcentral lists this ribosomal RNA (483 nucleotides) under uncultured bacterium. RNAcentral's name for it is "partial 16S ribosomal RNA". It matches the Rfam family "Bacterial small subunit ribosomal RNA", at positions 30 to 507 of the family's 1533-position model. The record is from RNAcentral.
AUUGAACGCUGGCGGCAGGCCUAACACAUGCAAGUCGAGCGGAUGAAGGGAGCUUGCUCCUGGAUUCAGCGGCGGACGGGUGAGUAAUGCCUAGGAAUCUGCCUGGUAGUGGGGGAUAACGUCCGGAAACGGGCGCUAAUACCGCAUACGUCCUGAGGAGAAAGUGGGGGAUCUUCGGACCUCACGCUAUCAGAUGAGCCUAGGUCGGAUUAGCUAGUUGGUGGGGUAAAGGCCUACCAAGGCGACGAUCCGUAACUGGUCUGAGAGGAUGAUCAGUCACACUGGAACUGAGACACGGUCCAGACUCCUACGGGAGGCAGCAGUGGGGAAUAUUGGACAAUGGGCGAAGGCCUGAUCCAGCCAUGCCGCGUGUGUGAAGAAGGUCUUCGGAUUGUAAAGCACUUUAAGUUGGGAGGAAGGGCAGUAAGUUAAUACCUUGCUGUUUUGACGUUACCAACAGAAUAAGCACCGGCUAACUUCGUG